This is a non-coding RNA of Sus scrofa (pig), 613 nucleotides long. NCBI's taxonomy places the organism in Eukaryota, Metazoa, Chordata, Mammalia, Artiodactyla, Suidae. The record is from RefSeq and is a predicted model, not a curated record.
AAUAGGUUUCUUCAUUUUUCCAGUGACUCAAAGUUCUUUUUCCAGUUUGCUCAUAAAUAACUUGAAUAAUUUGGGUCAACAUGUUUUUCUAAGGUGUUGGAACCAGUGUUUAAAAUGGGAAAAGACCACGGCUUCACGGCCCUGGGGUGGUUCUGACAACAAAGAAAAGAAAUGCAGUGGGCUUAAGUAACAUGCCCACGGUCAGAGUUGGAACUCACAUCAUCUGGCCCCAAACCCAGUGCUCUUUCCAAGAUGCCAUGCAGCUUUUCCUUCUGGAUGGCUCAUCUCCUUUCUCAUCUAUAAAACCACUCUUUCUUCUGAACUUCAAACAGCUGUUGGUCGUCUCCAGUGAGACAAGAUACAAGAGAGUUCCUUGUGGAUGACUCCACAGUGUAAGGCCAGGUCAUUAACAUGGGAAGGAGAGAAUCAGGUUCAUACGACUCUGAGACAAAGAAAGAGGAAAGAAGCGGACUUGAAUCUCCAUGUUGACAGGUAAGAAGAGACACUUUAUGGCCCAAAUGAUAAAGUAGAGUGUUCAAACUACUUUAGUUAAGUGGCCCAUCCAGCGGAGUACCAAAGAAACACUCUUCUGAAGGCGCCUGUUAAGUGAUAU